Molecule: ribosomal RNA, 1030 nt
Filed under: Acinetobacter baumannii
Lineage: Bacteria; Pseudomonadati; Pseudomonadota; Gammaproteobacteria; Moraxellales; Moraxellaceae
Description: partial 23S ribosomal RNA
Rfam family: Bacterial large subunit ribosomal RNA
Source: RNAcentral
AGUCAAGUAAUUAAGUGCAUGUGGUGGAUGCCUUGGCAGUCAGAGGCGAUGAAAGACGUGAUAGCCUGCGAAAAGCUCCGGGGAGGCGGCAAAUAUCCUUUGAUCCGGAGAUGUCUGAAUGGGGGAACCCACCUACUUUAAGGUAGGUAUUGCAACAUGAAUACAUAGUGUUGCAAGGCGAACGAGGGGAAGUGAAACAUCUCAGUACCCUUAGGAAAAGAAAUCAAUUGAGAUUCCCUCAGUAGCGGCGAGCGAACGGGGAUCAGCCCAUUAAGUUAUGUGUGUUUUAGUGGAACGCUCUGGGAAGUGCGAACGUAGAGGGUGAUAUUCCCGUACACGAAAGGGCACACAUAAUGAUGACGAGUAGGGCGAGGCACGUGAAACCUUGUCUGAAUAUGGGGGGACCAUCCUCCAAGGCUAAAUACUCCUGACUGACCGAUAGUGAACCAGUACCGUGAGGGAAAGGCGAAAAGAACCCCUGUGAGGGGAGUGAAAUAGAUCCUGAAACCGCAUGCAUACAAGCAGUGGGAGCACCUUCGUGGUGUGACUGCGUACCUUUUGUAUAAUGGGUCAGCGACUUAUAUUCAGUAGCGAGGUUAACCGUAUAGGGGAGCCGUAGAGAAAUCGAGUCUUAAUAGGGCGUUUAGUUGCUGGGUAUAGACCCGAAACCAGGCGAUCUAUCCAUGAGCAGGUUGAAGGUUGGGUAACACUAACUGGAGGACCGAACCCACUGUCGUUGAAAAGCCAGGGGAUGACUUGUGGAUAGGGGUGAAAGGCUAAUCAAGCCUGGUGAUAGCUGGUUCUCCCCGAAAGCUAUUUAGGUAGCGCCUCGGACGAAUACCAUAGGGGGUAGAGCACUGUUUCGGCUAGGGGGUCAUCCCGACUUACCAAACCGAUGCAAACUCCGAAUACCUAUGAGUACUAUCCGGGAGACAGACUGCGGGUGCUAACGUCCGUAGUCAAGAGGAAAACAAUCCAGACCGCCAGCUAAGGCCCCAAAAUCAUAGUUAAGUGGGAAACGAUGUGGGAA